AGAGUUUGAUCCUGGCUCAGGAUGACCUUUAGCGGCAGGCUUAACACAUGCAAGUCGAGGGGCAGCGGGGAGGAAGCUUGCUUUCUCCGCCGGCGACCGGCGCACGGGUGAGUAACACGUAUGCAACCUGCCCCUGUCAGGGGGACAACCCGCCGAAAGGCGGGCUAAACCCGCGUACAUGCCACCGGGGCAUCCCGGAGGCAGGAAAGGCUUCGGCCGGACAGGGAUGGGCAUGCGGCGCAUUAGGCAGUAGGCGGGGUAACGGCCCACCUAACCGACGAUGCGUAGGGGUUCUGUGAGGAAGGUCCCCCACACUGGUGCUGAGACACGGACCAGACUCCUACGGGAGGCAGCAGUGAGGAAUAUUGGUCAAUGGCCGAGAGGCUGAACCAGCCAAGUCGCGUGAGGGAAGACGGCCCUACGGGUUGUAAACCUCUUUUGUCGGGGAGCAAAGCGAACCACGUGUGGUUCAUUGAGAGUACCCGAAGAAAAAGCAUCGGCUAACUCCGUGCCAGCAGCCGCGGUAAUACGGAGGAUGCGAGCGUUAUCCGGAUUUAUUGGGUUUAAAGGGUGCGCAGGCGGUCUGUUAAGUCAGCGGUCAAAGCCCGGGGCUCAACCCCGGCCCGCCGUUGAAACUGGCAGUCUCGAGUUGGAGAGAAGUAUGCGGAAUGCGCGGUGUAGCGGUGAAAUGCAUAGAUAUCGCGCAGAACUCCGAUUGCGAAGGCAGCAUGCCGGCUCCACACUGACGCUGAGGCACGAAAGCGUGGGUAUCGAACAGGAUUAGAUACCCUGGUAGUCCACGCAGUAAACGAUGAAUGCUGCUGUUCCGGGGGGGACUGACCCCUGGGGGGGAGAAGCGAAAGCGAUAAGCAUUCCACCUGGGGAGUACGCCGGCAACGGUGAAACUCAAAAGGAAUUGACGGGGGCCCGCACAAGCGGAGGAACAUGUGGUUUAAUUCGAUGAUACGCGAGGAACCUUACCCGGGCUCAAACGGGGAGUGGCGCAGGCAGAGACGCCUGUUUCCCACGGGACACUCCCCGAGGUGCUGCAUGGUUGUCGUCAGCUCGUGCCGUGAGGUGUCGGCUUAAGUGCCAUAACGAGCGCAACCCCCGCGUGCAGUUGCUAACAGUCAACGCUGAGGACUCUGCACGGACUGCCGGCGCAAGCCGCGAGGAAGGCGGGGAUGACGUCAAAUCAGCACGGCCCUUACGUCCGGGGCGACACACGUGUUACAAUGGGUGGUACAGCGGGAAGCCAGGCGGCGACGCCGAGCGGAACCCGAAAUCCACUCUCAGUUCGGAUCGGAGUCUGCAACCCGACUCCGUGAAGCUGGAUUCGCUAGUAAUCGCGCAUCAGCCAUGGCGCGGUGAAUACGUUCCCGGGCCUUGCACUCACCGCCCGUCA
This 1405-nucleotide ribosomal RNA is filed under the name uncultured bacterium. RNAcentral describes it as "16S ribosomal RNA". It matches the Rfam family "Bacterial small subunit ribosomal RNA". The record is from RNAcentral.